CCAAUAGCGUAUAUUAAAGUUGUUGCCGUUAAAAAGCUCGUAGUUGAAUUUCGGGGUCAGUAGGUUGGUCGUGCCACCGGUACGUACUGGUCUCACUGAUUCCUCCUUCCUGAUGAGCUGUAAUGCCAUUAAUUUGGUGUUGCAGGGAAUCUGGACUGUUACUUUGAAAAAAUUAGAGUGUUUAAAGCAGGCUAACGCUUGAAUACAUUAGCAUGGAAUAAUGAAAUAGGACGUUCGAUCCUAUUUUGUUGGUUUCUAGGAUUGACGUAAUGAUUAAUAGGGAUAGUUGGGGGCAUUAGUAUUCAAUUGUCAGAGGUGAAAUUCUUGGAUUUAUUGAAGACUAACUACUGCGAAAGCAUUUGCCAAGGAUGUUUUCAUUAAUCAAGAACGAAAGUUAGGGGAUCGAAGACGAUCAGAUACCGUCGUAGUCUUAACCAUAAACUAUGCCGACUAGGGAUCGGAUGAUGUUAAUUUUUUAAUGACUCAUUCGGCGCCUUACG
RNAcentral lists this ribosomal RNA (500 nucleotides) under uncultured Glomeromycotina. Its description in RNAcentral is "partial small subunit ribosomal RNA". It matches the Rfam family "Eukaryotic small subunit ribosomal RNA", at positions 591 to 1092 of the family's 1831-position model. The record is from RNAcentral. Lineage: Eukaryota; Fungi; Glomeromycota.